This is a long non-coding RNA of Gorilla gorilla gorilla (western lowland gorilla), 880 nucleotides long. RefSeq lists it as uncharacterized. NCBI's taxonomy places the organism in Eukaryota, Metazoa, Chordata, Mammalia, Primates, Hominidae. The transcript has 6 exons. The record is from RefSeq and is a predicted model, not a curated record.
UUCCGCCCACCGUGACGUAACACGCCAGAAAACGUCAUAGACACCGCCCACUCGGCGAACUGUCUCCGAGCGGAGCCGGGCGGGAUUGGAUUGGACCCCUGGGCGGGAAAGGACGGACGGGUUAAGUAGCCAAUCACCAAUUGCACUCCAGCCAGAGGGGAGAUGCUCUUGGGGAGCCUGGGGAUCUGGAAGAAGUUCAGUGUGAGGACGAGUGUUAGGAAAUAAGGCUGAAGGCAGAGGCAACCCUGGAGGAUCUUCUAACCCAUGUCAAGCAGUUGAGAAUUUAUGGAGUGAAAUAGCAAGCCAUUGAAGAGUUUCAAGGUGCUCCCAAUGCAAUCACAAAGAUCUUUAAAAGUGGAAGAAGGUGGGAGAGGUCAGAGUGCUACGAAGAGAAUUCAGUCUACCACUGCUGGCUUUGAAGAUGGAAGAAUGGGGCUAUGAGCCCUGGAUUGUGGGCAGGCUGCAGAAGCUGGGGCAGAGAUUCCACACAGGCACCUCUAGAAAAUAAUGCAGCCAGCCAAUCCUUAGACUUUAUCCCAGUAAGAGUCAAGUUGGACUUCUGACCUACAAAAGAAUAUUAGAAACAAGAUGUGAAGAAAUUAAGAGAUGUCCAAGUUCGAAGGAGCCAGCUGUUAGUUCAGGCAAAGUCUUAUCUAGAGUGAAUCGUCAUCGUAUGCUCUGGGUUCUGAAUUAAACCUGAAAUGCAGGUCCAGGGGGUAAAUUGUGUGUCACUGAGACUUCGUGUGCAAAUGAUCCCAUCACCAAGGAGAGAAAAGAAAAAAAAGAAGACACACAGACAUAGGGGAGAAGACCAUGUGAAGACAGAGGCACAGAUGGGAAAGCUAUGUCUCCAAGCCAAGGAACACUAAGAAUUGCUGGC